Molecule: transfer RNA, 113 nt
Filed under: mine drainage metagenome
Description: tRNA-Leu
Rfam family: tRNA
About the family: Transfer RNA (tRNA) molecules are approximately 80 nucleotides in length. Their secondary structure includes four short double-helical elements and three loops (D, anti-codon, and T loops).
Source: RNAcentral
GCGGGGAUAGCCAAGCCCGGAAACGGCGCGGGACUUAAACGACCGGAGGAACGGCUCCCUUCUGAGAGAUCCCGUCGCGCAGGCGUUCGCCGGUUCGAAUCCGGCUCCCCGCA